Molecule: ribosomal RNA, 256 nt
Filed under: uncultured bacterium
Lineage: Bacteria
Description: partial 16S ribosomal RNA
Rfam family: Bacterial small subunit ribosomal RNA
Source: RNAcentral
UACGUAGGGUGCAAGCGUUGUCCGGAAUUAUUGGGCGUAAAGAGCUCGUAGGCGGUUUGUUGCGUUCGGCUGUGAAAUCCCGAGGCUCAACCUCGGGUCUGCAGUCGAUACGAGGCAAACUAGAGUGUUGCAGGGGAGACUGGAAUUCCUGGUGUAGCGGUGAAAUGCGUAGAUAUCAAGAGGAACACCUGAGGUGAAGACGGGUUGCUGGGCUGAAUACUGACGCUGAGGCGCGAAAGCUAGGGUAGCAAACGGG